RNAcentral lists this ribosomal RNA (346 nucleotides) under uncultured bacterium. RNAcentral describes it as "partial 16S ribosomal RNA". It matches the Rfam family "Bacterial small subunit ribosomal RNA", at positions 338 to 681 of the family's 1533-position model. The record is from RNAcentral.
CCUACGGGUGGCAGCAGUGAGGAAUAUUGGUCAAUGGACGAGAGUCUGAACCAGCCAAGUAGCGUGAAGGAUGACGGCCCUAUGGGUUGUAAACUGCUUUUAUAAAGGAAUAAAGUGAGGCACGUGUGCCUGUUUGUAUGUACUUUAUGAAUAAGGAUCGGCUAACUCCGUGCCAGCAGCCGCGGUAAUACGGAGGAUCCGAGCGUUAUCCGGAUUUAUUGGGUUUAAAGGGAGCGUAGAUGGGUUGUUAAGUCAGUUGUGAAAGUUUGCGGCUCAACCGUCAACUUGCAAUUGAUACUGGCAUUCUUGCGUACACUUGAGGUCGGCGGAAUUCGUGGUGUAGCGG